Molecule: ribosomal RNA, 460 nt
Filed under: uncultured bacterium
Lineage: Bacteria
Description: partial 16S ribosomal RNA
Rfam family: Bacterial small subunit ribosomal RNA
Source: RNAcentral
CCUACGGGUGACAGCAGUGAGGAAUAUUGGUCAAUGGACGAGAGUCUGAACCAGCCAAGUAGCGUGAAGGAUGACUGCCCUAUGGGUUGUAAACUUCUUUUAUAUGGGAAUAAAAUGUUCCACGUUUGGGAUUUUGUAUGUACCAUAGUACUCAGGAUCGGCUAACUCCGUACCAGCAGCCGCGGUAAUACGGCGGAUCCGAGCGUUAUCCGGAUUUAUUGGGUUUAAAGGUAGCGUAGGUGGAUUGUUAAGUCAGUUGUGAAAGUUUGCGGCUCAACCGUAAAAUUGCAGUUGAAACUGGCAGUCUUGAGGACAGUAGAGGUGGGCGGAAUUCGUGGUGUAGCGGUGAAAUGCUUAGAUAUCACGAAGAACUCCGAUUGCGAAGGCAGUUCACUGGACUGCAACUGACACUGAGGCUCGAAAGUGUGGGUAUCAAACAGGAUUAGAUACCCGUGUAGUC